This 198-nucleotide ribosomal RNA is filed under the name uncultured bacterium. Its description in RNAcentral is "partial 16S ribosomal RNA". It matches the Rfam family "Bacterial small subunit ribosomal RNA", at positions 328 to 539 of the family's 1533-position model. The record is from RNAcentral.
ACGCUCGACACCUACGGGAGCAGCAGUCGGGAAUAUUGCGCAAUGGAGGAAACUCUGACGCAGUGACGCCGCGUGCAGGAAGAAGGUUUUCGGAUUGUAAACUGCUUUAGACAGGGAAGAACAAAUGACAGUACCUGUAGAAUAAGCUCCGGCUAACUACGUGCAGCAGCCGCGGUAAUCUGAGCGGGCUGGCAAGGC